AGGGGGAGCUGGCUGUUGUGUCUCUGCUCCCCCUCCCCUGGCGUGCAGGGGAGGGGGAGCAGAGACACAACAGCCAGCAAACCCUGCGGCCGCCAAA
This is a non-coding RNA of Pelobates cultripes (western spadefoot toad), 97 nucleotides long. The record is from the annotation of a GenBank genome assembly. Lineage: Eukaryota; Metazoa; Chordata; Amphibia; Anura; Pelobatidae.